GCCUCUAUAGCUCAGUGGUAGAGCGCUUGACGUAUGUUCUGUCUUCAUCUGUAAAAUCUGCAUGAGUAAUUUGACUAAUAUUUAACUAGUUGUAUGUGACAUCAAGAGGUCCGUGGUUCAAUCCCGCGUGGAGGCA
This is a non-coding RNA of Aspergillus carlsbadensis, 136 nucleotides long. Lineage: Eukaryota; Fungi; Ascomycota; Eurotiomycetes; Eurotiales; Aspergillaceae. The record is from the annotation of a GenBank genome assembly.